UAGGGAAUCUUCCGCAAUGGGCGAAAGCCUGACGGAGCAACGCCGCGUGAGUGAUGAAGGUCUUCGGAUCGUAAAACUCUGUUAUUAGGGAAGAACAAAUGUGUAAGUAACUAUGCACGUCUUGACGGUACCUAAUCAGAAAGCCACGGCUAACUACGUGCCAGCAGCCGCGGUAAUACGUAGGUGGCAAGCGUUAUCCGGAAUGAUUGGGCGUAAAGCGCGCGUAGGCGGUUUUUUAAGUCUGAUGUGAAAGCCCACGGCUCAACCGUGGAGGGUCAUUGGAAACUGGAAAACUUGAGUGCAGAAGAGGAAAGUGGAAUUCCAUGUGUAGCGGUGAAAUGCGCAGAGAUAUGGAGGAACACCAGUGGCGAAGGCGACUUUCUGGUCUGUAACUGACGCUGAUGUGCGAAAGCGUGGGGAUCAAACAGG
Molecule: ribosomal RNA, 429 nt
Filed under: Actinomycetes bacterium
Lineage: Bacteria; Bacillati; Actinomycetota; Actinomycetes
Description: Actinobacteria bacterium partial 16S ribosomal RNA
Rfam family: Bacterial small subunit ribosomal RNA
Source: RNAcentral